Molecule: ribosomal RNA, 486 nt
Filed under: uncultured eubacterium WR885
Lineage: Bacteria
Description: bacterial SSU rRNA
Rfam family: Bacterial small subunit ribosomal RNA
Source: RNAcentral
GAGUUUGAUCAUGGCUCAGAAUCAACGCUGGCGGCGUGCCUAACACAUGCAAGUCGAACGAGAAAGUGGAGCAAUCCAUGAGUAAAGUGGCGCACGGGUGAGUAACACGUGACUAACCUACCCUGGAGUGGGGAAUAACUGAGGGAAACCUUAGCUAAUACCGCAUAACACCUACGGGUCAAAGGAGCAAUUCGCUUCAGGAGGGGGUCGCGGCAGAUUAGCUAGUUGGCGGGGUAAUGGCCCACCAAGGCAGUGAUCUGUAUCCGGCCUGAGAGGGCGCACGGACACACUGGAACUGAAACACGGUCCAGACUCCUACGGGAGGCAGCAGUGGGGAAUUUUGCGCAAUGGGGGAAACCCUGACGCAGCAACGCCGCGUGGAGGAUGAAGUCCCUUGGGACGUAAACUCCUUUCGAUCGGGACGAUUAUGACGGUACCGGAAGAAGAAGCCCCGGCUAACUUCGUGCCAGCAGCCGCGGUAAUACG